GACGAACGCUGGCGGCGUGCUUAACACAUGCAAGUCGAACGGAAAGGCCCUGCUUUUGUGGGGUGUUCGAGUGGCGAACGGGUGAGUAACACGUGAGUAACCCGCCCUUGUCUUUGGGAUAUCUUCAGGAAACUGGGGCUAUAAUCGGAUAGGAGCUCCUGAUCCACGGUGGGCGUUGGAAAGUUUCGGCGGUUGGGGAUGGACUCGCGGCUUAUCAGCUUGUUGGUGGGGUAGUGGCUUACAAAGGCUUCGACGGGUACCCGGCCUGAGAGGGGGACCGGCCACAUGGGGACUGAGAUACGGCCCAGAGUCCUACGGAAGGCAGCAGUGGGGAAUAUUGCACAAUGGAGGGAAGCCUGAUGCAGCAACGCCGCGUUCGGGAUGACGGCCUUCUGGUUGUAAACCACUUUCGCCUGUAACGAAGCGUGAUUGACGGUAAUGGAUAAAGAAGCACCGGCUAACUACGUG
This 468-nucleotide ribosomal RNA is filed under the name uncultured bacterium. RNAcentral's name for it is "partial 16S ribosomal RNA". It matches the Rfam family "Bacterial small subunit ribosomal RNA", at positions 28 to 507 of the family's 1533-position model. The record is from RNAcentral.